CCUACGGGAGGCAGCAGUGGGGAAUAUUGCACAAUGGGGGAAACCCUGAUGCAGCGAAGCCGCGUGAGUGAAGAAGUACUUCGGUAUGUAAAGCUCUAUCAACAGGGAAGAAAAUGACGGUACCUGACUCAGAAGCCCCGGCUAACUACGUGCCAGCAGCCGCGGUAAUAAGUAGGGGGCAAGAGUUAUCCGGAUUUACUGGGCGUAAAGGGAGCGUAGAGGGCACGACAAGUCAGAAGUGAAAGCCCAGGGCUCAACCCUGGGACGGCGGUUGAAACUGCCGGGCUGGAGUGCAGGAGAGGUAUGCGGAAUGCGUGGUGUAGCGGUGAAAUGCAUAGAUAUUACGAAGAACUCCGAUGGCGAAGGCAGCUUGCUGGACUGUAACUGACGUUGAGGCACGAAAGCGUGGGUAGCGAACAGGAUUAGAUACCCGGGUAGUC
RNAcentral lists this ribosomal RNA (440 nucleotides) under uncultured bacterium. RNAcentral's name for it is "partial 16S ribosomal RNA". It matches the Rfam family "Bacterial small subunit ribosomal RNA", at positions 338 to 795 of the family's 1533-position model. The record is from RNAcentral.